Carassius auratus (goldfish) is the source of this 687-nucleotide long non-coding RNA. RefSeq lists it as uncharacterized. The record is from RefSeq and is a predicted model, not a curated record. The transcript is spliced from 3 exons. NCBI's taxonomy places the organism in Eukaryota, Metazoa, Chordata, Actinopteri, Cypriniformes, Cyprinidae.
AGAAAAUCCUGCUGUGAUCUGAUUGGCUGACUGUGUCUUGAUAAAGAGCACCUGUGGCCCUUACUAAUUAUGUUUCAGUCUCCUUUUGUUUGAACCAAAAGCUGUUGUUCAGACAUGGCUUGUGUGGAAUCGUUGCGUUAUAAACCAACAAUUACCAUCAAUGCCAUCUGUGAAAUGUCUACUCCUAUAUGUCAGCACAAAUAAACUGGGAAAAGUACUUGAUGACUGAAUGAGUUUUAAUGGACCCACCAUUCCAGUAGCAACAGCCAAAUCAGCCUAAAUUUCUACAUGGUCCUUCGAGCCGGAGAGGCAACUGGAAUGGAGACUGAGGAUGACUGUGUGAAACCUAAACGUUCAUCAAGGAUUGUAAAACCUCCAAGAUGGCACGAAGAUUAUAUGAUGACUCCGUUAAAUCCUUCAAUGCAUCCAGCUGGACAAUUGGCACACCAGCCAGAAGAUUUGAGCCAUUUGGUUGCAUCACAGGGAGCUUCCAUUACUGCUACUCAAAAUGAGGUGAAGUCUUUGUCUGAGGAGAUUAAACAAAUGAAAGGAAUGUUGUUGGAUGUGGGACACAUGAUGAAGGAUAUGCAAAGGAAAAGAAGUUCUUCAUUUUCUACUGGUUCUGAAUGCAGUUCUAUUCAAGCAUCCCCUGGUCAUAUCCCCAUACAAGCAAACCAGCAAGAUGAG